Molecule: long non-coding RNA, 412 nt
Filed under: Mytilus galloprovincialis (Mediterranean mussel)
Lineage: Eukaryota; Metazoa; Mollusca; Bivalvia; Mytilida; Mytilidae
Source: RNAcentral
AUUGUAACCCCUCUUUCAGCAAUAUCCCUUAAAACAAUCCCAUCCUUUCCUUUUUAGUAUAGAACCUUGUAGUACAAUUACAGAGAGAUCCAUAUACAUGUUCUUAAACCCAAGUUAUUGUUUGGAAACUAGAAAUGUGCUUCUUUUCGGCCCUUUUUUGGCCCCUUAUUCCUACAUAUUUUGGACAAUUAAUCCAAAACUAAAUCCCAGCCUCCCCUUUGUUAUAUGGAGUAUUGUGGUACAGUUUGAAAGAGAUCCAUACAAUUACACACAAGUUAUCGUCUUGAAAUAAGAAAAAUGCUUGUUUUGGGCCCCUUUUUGGCCCUUUAUUCCUAACUUUGAUUCCAUGACCCAUUUAAAGGAAUCCAAACCUUCUACUUGUGGUUUUAAACAUUAUGAUACAAUAUCAGAG